RNAcentral lists this unclassified non-coding RNA (1412 nucleotides) under Fusarium bataticola. RNAcentral describes it as "sequence contains 18S rRNA gene, ITS1, 5.8S rRNA gene, ITS2, 28S rRNA gene". The stretch from base 511 to 1412 matches the Rfam family "Eukaryotic large subunit ribosomal RNA", at positions 1 to 936 of the family's 3401-position model. The record is from RNAcentral. Lineage: Eukaryota; Fungi; Ascomycota; Sordariomycetes; Hypocreales; Nectriaceae.
UAACAAGGUCUCCGUUGGUGAACCAGCGGAGGGAUCAUUACGAGAGUGUCACCACUCCCAACCCAUUGUUUACCUACCCGUCCACCGUGCUUCGGCAGGCAGCCCUGUGGGACAGGGCCUCGCCCCCCUCGCGGGGGGUGCCUGCCGCUGGCCAACCAUACAUUCUAGUCAUUUUAGUACCAUCUGAGUCUUCCACAAAUGAACAAAACUUUCAACAACGGAUCUCUUGGUUCUGGCAUCGAUGAAGAACGCAGCGAAAUGCGAUAAGUAAUGUGAAUUGCAGAAUUCAGUGAAUCAUCGAAUCUUUGAACGCACAUUGCGCCCACUAGUAUUCUGGUGGGCAUGCCUGUUCGAGCGUCAUUUCAACCCUCAAGCCUGGCUUGGUGUUGGGGCUCUGCGCACCGCAGUCCCUUAAAUUCAGUGGCGGACACGCUAGGUCUCCGAGCGCAGUAGUUUCUUCUCGCUUCGGGCGUCCGGCGUGGGCUUGCCUCGCACCCAACUUCUCAAGGUUGACCUCGGAUCAGGUAGGAAUACCCCGCUGAACUUAAGCAUAUCAAUAAGCGGAGGAAAAGAAACCAACAGGGAUUGCCCCAGUAACGGCGAGUGAAGCGGCAACAGCUCAAAUUUGAAAUCUGGCGCAAGCCCGAGUUGUAAUUUGCAGAGGAUGCUUCUGGCGCGGUGCCUCCUGAGUUCCCUGGAACGGGACGCCGGAGAGGGUGAGAGCCCCGUACAGUUGGACACCAAGCCUUUGUGAAGCUCCUUCGACGAGUCGAGUAGUUUGGGAAUGCUGCUCAAAAUGGGAGGUACAUGCCUUCUAAAGCUAAAUACCGGCCAGAGACCGAUAGCGCACAAGUAGAGUGAUCGAAAGAUGAAAAGCACUUUGAAAAGAGGGUUAAACAGUACGUGAAAUUGUUGAAAGGGAAGCGCUCGUGACCAGACUUGCGCCCGGCGGAUCAUCCGGCCUUCUGGCCGGUGCACUCCGCCGGGCUCAGGCCAGCAUCGGUUCUUCCGGGGGGAUAAAAGCGGCGGGAACGUAGCUCCUCCGGGAGUGUUAUAGCCCGCCGCAGAAUACCCCCGGGGGGACCGAGGACCGCGCUUCGGCAAGGAUGCUGGCGUAAUGGUCACCAGCGACCCGUCUUGAAACACGGACCAAGGAGUCAAGCAUUAGGGCGAGUGUUUGGGUGUGAAACCCGCACGCGAAAUGAAAGUGAACGCAGGUGAGAGCUUCGGCGCAUCAUCGACCGAUCCCGAUGUUUUCGGAGGGAUUUGAGUAAGAGCCUUACCGCUUGGACCCGAAAGAUGGUGAACUAUGCUUGGAUAGGGUGAAGCCAGAGGAAACUCUGGUGGAGGCUCGCAGCGGUUCUGACGUGCAAAUCGAUCGUCAAAUCUGAGCAUGGGGCGAAAGACUAAUC